Molecule: ribosomal RNA, 472 nt
Filed under: uncultured bacterium
Lineage: Bacteria
Description: bacterial SSU rRNA
Rfam family: Bacterial small subunit ribosomal RNA
Source: RNAcentral
UGGGGAAUAUUGGACAAUGGGGGAAACCCUGAUCCAGCCAUGCCGCGUGUGUGAAGAAGGCCCUCGGGUUGUAAAGCACUUUCAUCGAGGAAGAACGCCUAACGGUUAAUACCCGCUAGGAAAGACAUCACUCGCAGAAGAAGCACCGGCUAACUCCGUGCCAGCAGCCGCGGUAAUACGGAGGGUGCAAGCGUUAAUCGGAAUUACUGGGCGUAAAGCGCGCGUAGGUGGCUUGAUAAGCCGGUUGUGAAAGCCCCGGGCUCAACCUGGGAACGGCAUCCGGAACUGUCAAGCUAGAGUGCAGGAGAGGAAGGUAGAAUUCCCGGUGUAGCGGUGAAAUGCGUAGAGAUCGGUAGGAAUACCAGUGGCGAAGGCGGCCUUCUGUACUGACACUGACACUGAGGUGCGAAAGCGUGGGUAGCAAACAGGAUUAGAUACCCCGGUAGUCCCUGAGCGGGCUGGCAAGGCGCAU